CGAGAGGGGGCAAGCGUUAUUCGGAAUUAUUGGGCGUAAAGGGCGCGUAGGCGGCUUUUCAAGUGACGGGUGAAAUCCCUCGGCUUAACCGAGGAACUGCCUGUCAGACUGGAAGGCUUGAGACCGGGAGAGGUGAGUGGAAUUCCCAGUGUAGCGGUGAAAUGCGUAGAUAUUGGGAGGAACACCAGUGGCGAAGGCGGCUCACUGGACCGGAACUGACGCUGAGGCGCGAAAGCGUGGGGAGCAAACAGGAUUAGAUACCCUGGUAGUCCACGCCGUAAACGAUGAGUGCCUGGUGUAGCGGGUAUCGACCCCUGCUGUGCCGAAGUCAACACAUUAAGCACUCCGCCUGGGGAGUACGGUCGCAAGACUG
Molecule: ribosomal RNA, 373 nt
Filed under: uncultured organism
Description: bacterial SSU rRNA
Rfam family: Bacterial small subunit ribosomal RNA
Source: RNAcentral